This 1258-nucleotide long non-coding RNA is filed under the name Olea europaea subsp. europaea. The record is from RNAcentral. Lineage: Eukaryota; Viridiplantae; Streptophyta; Magnoliopsida; Lamiales; Oleaceae.
GUUGUUUCAAAAACGAUCCUUGUUCCUACAUGAAUCACCCUCACCGCGAAAACCACCAUCACAAUACUUUCUCCUCCAGCAGCCACUUUCAAAAUACCACUGGAUAAACCCUUCUGUGUUGAAAUCUUGAAACCAACUGUGAAGUAAGUAUUUCUGACAUUGUAAUUCUAAUUUUGGGAGAAACAAUCCUGAUUAUAAUGCAUUUUCACAUCUCUUCCUUGCUUUGGCAUAAUUUUUAUCGUGGAAAUUACCAUUUCAGCUGCCAUUUGUGAGGAUGGAUUAGUCUAUGCAUCUCUAGUUACUCACCAAACCUUUUGAACUCAAAAUACAAACAAAUUGUUAUCUGAUCGAAAAAUUAACUUUUCAAUAACCUUCUAAAUAAUAUGUUCGAUUGUCCUGCUAUUCAGUAAUAAAUGUAUGUGUAAAUUUUUAUGUGAAUGCUUGCUGCCCUGCACUUCUGGAGAUGUGAAUUUGUAGUGGUGGAGCAGUUUGCGUGAUUUUGCAUUGGUGUCUGUAAAUUGUUUGUGCCUAAUCGCAGGAUGAGAGGGGCGAAUUUUGGAGUUUGUCAUAGCUGUAGAAGCACAACGCAUUACUUUAGAGAUUGCCCCAGAAAAUUUCGAUGCCCAUGGUGUUCACGUGAAAUUCAAAAAUGUUUUGAGGUUGGAAAGAACACCAGUAACAAUGACUGAUUAUUCAAAAGUUGUAGUGACGAUUGUGGCUACUUUGAGUGGGUCGAUAAUGAAGAAUUGAGUGGUGAAUCAAGCACCGUUAAUGAAGAAGUGAAUGUUUUGGCCAAUGAGGAAUUCGACGAACUGCCAAGCAUGUUUGAUUCUCUUGCGCGAAUUGCUAACAAACGAGGUGUCGAGAUUUUAGUGAACAUGACAUUUCGUAAAGACAAAGGAAGUACGGAGGAGUAUGGGAAAGAAAAGAGCCAACAAGGCAUGUGUAGUAGCUGCAGGUUGUUUGAAGUUAUUGAAAGUCCAGUGUCCGGUGUUGCUUUGUGUAGUAAUUAGUUAGUUUUUUUUAGGUUGUAUUGUUGAACUUGUGGUUAUCUAUGUUAUGUUUUUUGAAGUCAUGUAAUCAGUUCCAAGUGUUAAUGUGUGGUAACUGUCUUUUUUUAGCUUGUAGUGACGUGUAGUGUAGUUAUGUAAUUAGUUUAUGUUGUAAUCAGUUCCAAGUAAUUACAUGACUGGUGAUUGUUGAGCAUUUUCUGAAGUUAUUUACUCAAGCAUAUGGCUGUUUCACAUGUUCUAUUGGA